AUUACAUCCUAUAACUCAUUUUCUAUAAAGUUAUACAUUAGUGACUCAUAAAAUUAUUUUAUGCAUAAAUCUCUCAAAUAUUUUUGAACUUUUACAUUUAUACCUCAUUUUAUUUUGAUUCCUAUUUUACCCUUUAUUAAUAAAUGGAGGCUAUUAUCCUCUAGAAAGCAAAUCGUUUUUUCUCUAACGUCGGAGGAGGAGCGCUAGGGACGCUGCAACAAAGGGAAGAAGAUGACGGAUCCGCCAUCAGAGGAUGUCGCGAUAUAGACGGUGUUCAUGCUCUGAUAUUUCACAAUACGAUGAAGAUCCAUUUGUCAUCGGUGCUUUCGGAGCUUCGCAACUGGAAUUAUUCUCGGCUUAAAAUUGGGCACUAAUUAGAUGUGUCAAUCCUCCAAAAAUUCCAGAAUAUUAUGAAUUUGGAAUUCCGUACGAGUCAUCACACGAAACAACUAACAAAUACUUGCAGUGUGAACUGAAGAUAUAAGAGAACACCUUGAGUUUGAGUUGUACUAAAUGUAUUAUAUCUUCUUGUUGUAACUUGUAACUAUAAUGGCGCUUAUGUUGUAAAUUUAAUUGAGAAUAUCACAGUGAAGUUGUAAUGUGGACGUCGCUGAGCUGCUGAACAGUUGGCAAUGAUGAUGAUAUGUUGGUCUAUGUAUAAACAUUGUCUUGUGAAAUCAUUCAUUUAGCAAA
Long non-coding RNA from Mercurialis annua (annual mercury), 693 nucleotides. RefSeq lists it as uncharacterized. Lineage: Eukaryota; Viridiplantae; Streptophyta; Magnoliopsida; Malpighiales; Euphorbiaceae. The transcript has 2 exons. The record is from RefSeq and is a predicted model, not a curated record.